GACGAACGCUGGCGGCGUGCUUAACACAUGCAAGUCGAACGGAAAGGCCCCCUUGUGGGGUACUCGAGUGGCGAACGGGUGAGUAACACGUGAGUAACCUACCCUUGACUUUGGGAUAACUUCAGGAAACUGAGGCUAAUACCGGAUAGGAGCUCCUGCUGCAUGGUGGGGGUUGGAAAGUUUCGGCGGUUGGGGAUGGACUCGCGGCUUAUCAGCUUGUUGGUGGGGUAGUGGCUCACCAAGGCUUUGACGGGUAGCCGGCCUGAGAGGGUGACCGGCCACAUUGGGACUGAGAUACGGCCCAGACUCCUACGGGAGGCAGCAGUGGGGAAUAUUGCACAAUGGGCGGAAGCCUGAUGCAGCAACGCCGCGUGCGGGAUGACGGCCUUCGGGUUGUAAACCGCUUUCGCCUGUGACGAAGCGUGAGUGACGGUAAUGGGUAAAGAAGCACCGGCUAACUACGUG
This 465-nucleotide ribosomal RNA is filed under the name uncultured bacterium. RNAcentral describes it as "partial 16S ribosomal RNA". It matches the Rfam family "Bacterial small subunit ribosomal RNA", at positions 28 to 507 of the family's 1533-position model. The record is from RNAcentral.